This 166-nucleotide ribosomal RNA is filed under the name Penicillium sp. NRRL 35648. RNAcentral describes it as "5.8S ribosomal RNA". It matches the Rfam family "5.8S ribosomal RNA". Rfam says of the family: 5.8S ribosomal RNA (5.8S rRNA) is a component of the large subunit of the eukaryotic ribosome. It is transcribed by RNA polymerase I as part of the 45S precursor that also contains 18S and 28S rRNA. Functionally, it is thought that 5.8S rRNA may be involved in ribosome translocation. The record is from RNAcentral. Lineage: Eukaryota; Fungi; Ascomycota; Eurotiomycetes; Eurotiales; Aspergillaceae. RNAcentral also lists the same sequence under 1 other name.
AAUUAUUUAAAACUUUCAACAACGGAUCUCUUGGUUCCGGCAUCGAUGAAGAACGCAGCGAAAUGCGAUACGUAAUGUGAAUUGCAGAAUUCAGUGAAUCAUCGAGUCUUUGAACGCACAUUGCGCCCUCUGGUAUUCCGGAGGGCAUGCCUGUCCGAGCGUCAUU